GACGAACGCUGGCGGCGUGCUUAACACAUGCAAGUCGAACGGAAAGGCCUGCAGCUUGCUGCGGGUACUCGAGUGGCGAACGGGUGAGUAACACGCGGGUGAUCUGCCUUGCACUUCGGGAUAAGCUUGGGAAACUGGGUCUAAUACCGGAUAGGACAGCUGUUUAGUGUCAGUUGUGGAAAGUUUUUUCGGUGCAAGAUGAGCUCGCGGCCUAUCAGCUUGUUGGUGGGGUAAUGGCCUACCAAGGCGUCGACGGGUAGCCGGCCUGAGAGGGUGUACGGCCACAUUGGGACUGAGAUACGGCCCAGACUCCUACGGGAGGCAGCAGUGGGGAAUAUUGCACAAUGGGCGGAAGCCUGAUGCAGCGACGCCGCGUGGGGGAUGAAGGCCUUCGGGUUGUAAACUCCUUUCGACAGGGACGAAGCUUUUGUGACGGUACCUGUAUAAGAAGCACCGGCUAACUACGUGCCAGCAGCCGCGGUAAUACGUAGGGUGCGAGCGUUGUCCGGAAUUACUGGGCGUAAAGAGCUCGUAGGUGGUUUGUCGCGUCGUCUGUGAAAUUCCGGGGCUUAACUCCGGGCGUGCAGGCGAUACGGGCUGACUUGAGUGCUGUAGGGGAGACUGGAAUUCCUGGUGUAGCGGUGAAAUGCGCAGAUAUCAGGAGGAACACCGAUGGCGAAGGCAGGUCUCUGGGCAGUAACUGACGCUGAGGAGCGAAAGCAUGGGUAGCGAACAGG
This 737-nucleotide ribosomal RNA is filed under the name uncultured Corynebacterium sp. RNAcentral describes it as "bacterial SSU rRNA". It matches the Rfam family "Bacterial small subunit ribosomal RNA", at positions 28 to 776 of the family's 1533-position model. The record is from RNAcentral. Lineage: Bacteria; Bacillati; Actinomycetota; Actinomycetes; Mycobacteriales; Corynebacteriaceae.